RNAcentral lists this ribosomal RNA (837 nucleotides) under Lens contradens. RNAcentral describes it as "12S ribosomal RNA". The record is from RNAcentral. Lineage: Eukaryota; Metazoa; Mollusca; Bivalvia; Unionida; Unionidae.
UCAAACGUUUCAUUGAUGCGCCAAAUUAGCUGUAUCUUCUAAACUAUAUAUGGUAGUACAAUCGCACAUUGUGCCAACGGUUUUUGUCUGGUCAAAGUUUUAAAAACUUUGAGUAGGCAAAAGCUUAGGGAAACUUACCCAAGAACCAUCCACAACACCAAUGUCUUAUUUUAUCCCAGCUAGAAAACUAGGCCAUAGAGAAAGAUAAUAGGGGUGACUAAAAUGGUGCCAGCAGUCGCGGUUACACCACUAACCCGAGCUAAUUUUCACAAUAAAAGAACCAUUAAUUGAUUAUACAAUUACCUUCUUACGUAAAAAAUAAAUUUUAGCUACACCCAGACAAAUCAUAAAUAACCUUAGUUCUAACAAACCACAACUUUCAAAACUCGGAUUAGAUACCCGAUUAUUGUGUGGCCCAACCCACCAAAGAAUACUACCAGCGAAAGCUCGAACCUCAAACAAUGUGGCGGUGCUUAACUCCUCAUCAGGGGAUCCUGUGGCUUAAUUCGAUAAUCCACGACUAACCUUAGCUUUUAUCGCACACAGCUUGUGUAUGGCCGUUUAUGCUUGCUCAAAAAAGAUAAAAAAGGAAGCAAUUAGGGUUCAUCCCACUAAUUCAGGUGACAUACAGCCAAUUAAAAGCCGCUACAUGGGAUACAAAUGACUCAACCACCAAACUUAAAGAUUAAAUUCUUUAAUGAAGGAGGACUUGAAAGUAAGAUAUAGGUACAUAAAACCAGUCUGAACAAGAACUUAAGCGCGCACAAAUCGCCCGUCACUCCGGUAGUAAAAUCGGAUAAGUCGUAACAUAGUAGGGGUAAUGGAAAUUGCCCCUAA